RNAcentral lists this small RNA (1122 nucleotides) under Pan troglodytes (chimpanzee). RNAcentral's name for it is "processed transcript". Lineage: Eukaryota; Metazoa; Chordata; Mammalia; Primates; Hominidae. The record is from RNAcentral.
GCAGAUCCUCGUUCCUAGCUGCCUGCCAGCGUCCUCGGCCCAGCCCUGAGGAUGGACCCAGGUGAUCCCGCUGGUGACCCUGCCGCUGGCGAGCGCCGCCGCAUGGGCCAGGACCCCCUCCUGCUCCUGCAGGCCCUGCAGACCUUGUGGUCCACGCGGGAGCGGCAGCAGCUCCGGGAGGAAGCCUGGCGGGGGUUUGCUGCCUUGGACGACCCCCUGGCCGGGCUUCUGGACAUGCUGGAGAGCUGCCGGGGCCAGCGGGGAGAGGGCCCCUCCCUGGCGGCCUGGAUCUCCCACCAGCUGCAGUGCUGGCUACAGGCACAGCCACGCCCGAGCCUGGCCCAGCACAGCCUGAGGCUGAAGCAGCUGCAGGCCCGAGCGGUCAGAGUCCUCACUGAGAGCCCCCCCAGCCUUGUGGCACCACUGGCCAGCAUCUUCCAGCUGCAGGAUGCAGACAGGAGCUGCCUGCUGGCGCACGUCCACCGCCUCCACCACGAGGGCAGGUUCAGAGAAGCAGCCACGCUGGGCGCGACGUUGAAGCUGCAGUCGGAGCUUGGCGUUGAAAAGAUGAGCGUCCCACUGCUCCUCCAGGACAAGGUGGCCCUCGUGGAGCGCUACGUGGCCGGCUUCCCGGACCUCCAGAGGAGGCUGCUGGUCCUCAUGGAUUCCUGGUGCCAGCCCGGCUUUGACAUCAAGGACGUUGCCAGACAGUACCCUGAGGUGACCUCCUUGAGCCUGGAGAAGCUGAGUCCGAAGGUGCUGAGCAGGCAGGUCUUGCGUCUGCAGGAGCGGUACGGCGUAGCCCCAGCGCUGUGUCCAAACGCGGCCAUUCAGCAGCGCCUGGUGGCCUGCGGCACCUGCACCACAAGCGGUUUGUGGAGAAGAGCCUGUCACAGGAGAACUGGACCGACCACGUGCAGACGGCAGCAUCCGUGCCACCCGAACCAGCCCAGCGGAGCUGCCUGUGGGGCCGGGUGGGGGCUGAGAGUCACCAGAGAGGUGCAAGGCGCCUGGGCGAGGCCGGAAGGAGGAAGGCCGGGCCCCCCCCGCCCGGUGCCAGCACAGAGCCGGCCGGAAGGGCAGCGGACGUCCUGAAGAAUGCGGGCGGCUUCCACGUAUUGU